AGAAAAUGAAGUUGCUCAAAAUCCUCCCUCAAAAAAUUGGGAGGGUUUAAGUAAAAAAAUAAGAUUUGUUUAGAAAAUAUAUCGAGCUUCAAGUAAGUUUUUCUAGUUCGACCCAGUUCAAAUUUGUAAAAGAAAAAAUUUGUUGUUAUUUUUGCAUUGUUUUGCCAUUGUUUUGCUUUCAUUUAACUAUUAUAUUGCUACUAUUUUAUUGUUAUUAUUUGAAAAUUGUAUAACUCUUGUUUUGUUGUUAAUUUUGUUACUAUUUUAGAGGCAUUUGCUUGUUAAGUUGCACCUAGAGGUGCUCAUGGGUUGGGCUGUCCGGCCCGGCCCGAUGGCCCGCCCAAAAUGUGAGAGGGUUCGGGUAAAAAUAUAGGCCCGAAAUAUGGGCUUGGACAAAAAAGAGGCCCGUUUAUCCCAGGCCCGGCCCGGAUAUAAUUAAUAUUUUUUUAAUUUAUUAUUACAUUAUUUUACAUUUCCCAUUUCCCCAACCCCGUGUAUCUGAUAAACCCCUAACCCCUUCCCUCCGGUGUCCGGUCCACGACUCCACCUCCGCUCUAACGGUGCUUCUAGCCUUCAACGUCUUCUACCUUUGAAUUUCAAAGGUGAGUUUGCUGUUAACCCUAUUUCCUGUUAACCCAAUUCGAAGUAGUUUUUUGCUUUUUGAUUUUGAUUGUGAUUUUGAUUUUUGCUGUUAACGGUUUUCUGAUUUUGAUUUUGAGACACUGAAUCUUCGGGGGGAUUUUGAUUGUGUUUACAUAUCGAGGGGGAUUUUGAUUGCGUUUAUUACAUAUUAUUCUUUGCAACAAAAAGAGUGAUUGAGUCCGACUAAAGCGAGUGAGUGAAAGGCGUGGCAAGAGAGCGAGUUCAACUCGCGAACGAUCAGCAAGUGAAGGAAGAAAAUCAUGAUUGUUUUGUUUUUUUUUAGUUCUUUUGCGGAUUAAUGUGAUUGUCUUUUCUUGAAUGAUGAUUGUUCUUUUGUUGCAAAUUUGUUCUUUUAUUAAAACCGAAAAAGGAAGAAAAUCAAUAGAAUUAGAUUUAGGGUUUAUGGAAUCUCUAUACAUGCGUAAAAAGCGAAAACUUGUCAUCCAGAAGAUUGGGGUGAAUCCAAAAUUCAACUUUGUUUGAAUUAAGAAGAAACUGAAUGGUUGGUUUGCAAUUCAAAAAAAAUAGUAUAUUUCAUUGUCGUUGAAUUAAGUUUUGAUUUGGAUAAAAAAACAGAAUUAUUUGAAUCAAUUUUAAUUAAAAACAAUCUUUUUAUUAAAUCAAAUACCAAAUUAUUAUAUUAAACAAAAAUCGUUUUAGGUCAAAUUAUAAUUAUGACCUUCUUCUAUGUUGUUUAAAGCUUAAAAGAUUGGACUGAUGACAUGACAAAAAAUAAUAAUACAGUUUGAUUUUGUCAAGUAUGAGAAAAAACACCAGUUUCUCUUGACCUUGACUUCCAAGUUUAAUGUAAUAAAUGCUCCAAUAACAUAUUCAGACCCACACAACAUUUAUUUGUGUUUAUGUUUUAUAGAGCAUGUAAUUUGUAGGGUUGAGAAUUGAUUUAUGUUUUAUAGAGCAUGUAAUUUGCAGGGUUGAGAUCACAAGCUUAGUUUCUUCAUUUAAUCUCCUUUUUUUUUGUGUUUGCUUUGUUUUACUGCAGAAACAAGCUAUUUAGUGAGGCAGAAAAAACAGCAGGCCCAGGCAGGUUACUAUCACUAUCUCACACCCUUUCCUUCGAAACAAUCAACCUUAGUGACUUUUCAUUUGAAUUUUGUGUGUUUUUUUAGUAUUACUUAAAGACAUGUGACAAAUUUAUCUUGUAUCACAAGGCUAGCAUAGUUAAGGUUUCCAUUGAUUUGGGUCAAGACUAUUAGGGGAAAGGUCUCCAUUGAUUAAGUUGGGUUGAGGUUCGAUGUUAAAGGCUUGUUUAUUUUCUAUAAAGUUGUUAAAAAAACAAUAGUAAAUGGUGGACAACAGGUUCAUUAUUUAUUAAGAAUCAAAACUUAGAGUGUAAUACUACAUCAAUUCUAACAUAAAUUUUAUAGAUAACAUGAAAGCUAUGCACUUUGUUCUUCAAAUAAGUAAUCUUAUUUUAUUUUUUGUUCAUUAUAUACAAAAAAAAUGUAAUUUGAUAUUUGAUAUAAUUUUAAUAACAAUUAGUUUUAAGUAAGUAAGUUAAAAAAAAAAGGGUUGGGUUGGGUUGGGCUCGGGCUUCGUAUUUUUGUCCCAGGCCGGGCCUGGGCCUAGGAAGUGGGCUGA
RNAcentral lists this long non-coding RNA (2241 nucleotides) under Gossypium barbadense (sea-island cotton). RNAcentral describes it as "long non-coding RNA (GBAR_LNC015108)". The record is from RNAcentral. Lineage: Eukaryota; Viridiplantae; Streptophyta; Magnoliopsida; Malvales; Malvaceae.